Molecule: ribosomal RNA, 1959 nt
Filed under: Cyrtorhinus lividipennis
Lineage: Eukaryota; Metazoa; Arthropoda; Insecta; Hemiptera; Miridae
Description: eukaryotic LSU rRNA
Source: RNAcentral
UACACACCGCCCGUCGCUACUACCGAUUGAAUGAUUUAGUGAGGUCUUCGGACUGGCUGUAAUCUCUACCGACUUGUCGUUAUUGAUGAACGCUGGAAAGAUGACCAAACUUGAUCAUUUAGAGGAAGUAAAAGUCGUAACAAGGUUUCCGUAGGUGAACCUGCGGAAGGAUCAUUACAGAGCAGUGGGGCUACCACGGUGCCAACUCUCUUGUAUCAAAGAACAAUUUAAAAAAAAAAAUUGUUCAUUCGAUAAAGAAAGAAGACAGAAUCCUAGUGUACAGUAAGAWGUCGGUGGCAACAAUAGUUUGAGGUGUAUCUGGUAUUGAGAAGCGUUGACCGCAAUCCCUCGUACGGUAUGACCGGUCAAUCUUCAUGGCAAUAUUAACCUCCAUUGUUGCUUCACUAGCCUCUGAACUACCCAUAUGGGUUUUAUAUCUUUUUUUCUUUCAUCGACAAAUGCAUCAAAAUCCUUGAGCAUGAGAUCAGUAACGAUUGUUUGAAGUGUAUGGGUUCGAAAGCCACCUUUUUUGUACAUACCGGCCCUUUCGGGUUCGAGGCACGUAGGAUGUGAGUGGGUAUAUCCUGCAAGAUCACCGCAAUCCCUCGUACGGUAUGACAGACAGGAUGAGCUGUAUUGACAACCAACGUCCAAUCGUGUAUAAACGGAUAUGAGAAUAUUCGCACUGAUCUUCGGUUGAUUGAAUAAAUUUUCAGCCAAGGUUGCACGCUAUCAUCACUUUCGAGCUGGGUUGAUGAAGGUGUAUGUUUGAAAUGCGAAAGCCUCUGGAUUGUCGGGCUACCCAAGACACCCGGUGAGAAGGGAGCCGUGAGGUUCUUAACUUAUCGUCAACAAUCCUCGAUGCGAUGAUAUCGUAUCGAGUAACAUGAUUACCCUGAGCGGCGGAUCACUUGGCUCGUGGGUCGAUGAAAGACGCAGCAAACUGCGCGUCGUCGUGUGAACUGCAGGACACAUGAACAUCGACAUUUUGAACGCACAUUGCGGCCCUGGGAUUCCAUCCAAGGGCCACACCUGUCUGAGGGUCGUUCGUUUAAGAGAGCCACUCAAUGGUGGUCUCUCAAUAAAACCUUGUCGUGAAAUUUGAAUCCAUUCAAGGAUGACAAAAAUCACGCGAAACGGGAGUUUCACCCAACCCUCUUUCGACAGAGUGAGGGGUGGCUGUCUCCUGAGAUACUGAUUGGCGUGAAAGGUCUCCUCAUUUAUGAGAAAACUGAAACGUCUUCUGAAAUUCUGUGAACAGCUGGCAAAUGAAAGGCCCAAUACCUAGGGAGCAAUGGCUUUGAGUUUUACUCCCAAAUGCCCGAUCACUCAAUCCGUCAACGAAGUGAAACAAGGUGUAGUGAUAAAAAAGAAAAAUCCCUCAUUCGUUUCGAAAAUAGUGAACGUAAACUGGUAAGGUCUCGGUGUUGCCCUGUCACUGGUUCGACGACGAAGUCCCGAACCCAGUCUCAAUGACAGGCGGCCCAUUCGUGAGCGCCUCACCCUUUUUUCAGGGUCGAGGAAGGUUUUUCGUUCGUCGAAAAGUCGUACGGAUGUUUACGAAAGGAAAUUUCAUCUUCAUUAUUAUCCUUGUCAACUUCAGCGUUCACGAACGCGCGGUGUAUUUGAUGUGUACAAAAGUCGAGCGUGAGGGAAAUCUCAGUCAAGCCAUGAGCAAGACUCUCUGGUUCGAGAUCUUGUCGACUAUUCGUCGUCAGAGGAAAGAACCUUGCAUCGAGCCUCAUAAUGGUAUGUUUGUCCGAGUAUUUUGUCGGCGCUUAAGUGUUUGCUUUUAAAUGAAGAAGACGUCAAAGCUAGUAAUUGAUAAUGAUGAACGACCGAGUCAAUUUGCACGUUGUGUCAACGUCUAAAUAACGAGAACCAACUUAAUACAAUCGACCUCAGAUCAGGUGGGAUUCCCCGCUGAAUUUAAGCAUAUCAAUAAGCGGAGGAAAAGAA